Molecule: RNA transcript, 3785 nt
Organism: Phodopus roborovskii (desert hamster)
Lineage: Eukaryota; Metazoa; Chordata; Mammalia; Rodentia; Cricetidae
Gene: Mdga2
Gene name: MAM domain containing glycosylphosphatidylinositol anchor 2
Exons: 18
Source: RefSeq, a predicted model, not a curated record
GCUUGUGUGUGUGUAUGUGUGCAUGAGUGUGGGGUGUGUGGGGUUCCACUGCUCUGCUCGUGGCCGCCGCCAAGGAAGGACAGACGGACGGACGGCGCUUCCUCCCACUGGGAGCAGUUCCCGGGCACCUCGACUCGGCCCGGGCACAAGUGGAGCGCGCCUGGCUAGCCGCUGGCCUCCGGAAGGUUCCACUGCGUCCCCGUUGGGCUGGAUAUGUUCAUAUUCACGUGAAGAUGGAUUUAGUGUACGGUCUCGUGUGGCUGCUGACAGUCCUCCUGGAGGGGAUCUCUGGCCAAGGAGUGUACGCACCCCCGACAGUUCGGAUUGUGCACUCAGGAUUGGCCUGCAAUAUUGAAGAGGAACGCUACUCUGAAAGAGUCUACACUAUCCGGGAAGGAGAAACUCUAGAACUGACUUGUCUGGUUACAGGACAUCCACGCCCACAGAUCAGGUGGACCAAAACAGCAGGAAGUGCCUCUGACAGAUUCCAAGACUCAAGUGUCUUCAAUGAGACUUUGAGGAUCACAAACAUUCAAAGACACCAAGGUGGCCGCUACUACUGUAAAGCAGAGAAUGGCUUGGGGUCCCCAGCAAUAAAGUCGAUCCGAGUGGAUGUGUACUACUUGGAUGAUCCCGUAGUAACUGUUCAUCAAAGCAUAGGUGAAGCUAAAGAACAAUUUUACUAUGAGAGAACAGUGUUUCUCAGAUGCGUGGCCAAUUCCAACCCUCCUGUGCGCUACAGUUGGAGACGUGGCCAAGAAGUAUUGUUACAAGGAUCUGACAAAGGAGUGGAGAUAUAUGAGCCCUUCUUUACCCAGGGUGAAACCAAGAUCUUAAAGCUGAAAAAUCUUCGACCUCAGGACUAUGCUAACUACAGCUGCAUUGCUUCAGUGAGGAACGUGUGUAAUAUUCCAGACAAGAUGGUGUCAUUUAGACUUUCCAAUAAAACAGCUUCCCCAUCAAUUAAGCUUUUGGUGGAUGAUCCUAUAGUUGUGAAUCCUGGAGAGGCCAUAACUUUAGUGUGUGUGACAACAGGAGGAGAGCCUACACCCUCUCUCACCUGGGUCAGAUCCUUUGGGGCUCUGCCUGAAAAGAUUGUUUUGAAUGGAGGGACAUUGACCAUACCUGCUAUCACCUCAGAUGAUGCUGGUACUUACAGCUGCAUUGCCAAUAAUAAUGUGGGGAACCCUGCAAAAAAGUCCACCAACAUCAUUGUGAGAGCAUUAAAAAAAGGACGAUUUUGGAUCACUCCUGAUCCUUAUCACAAAGAUGACAACAUCCAGAUUGGGCGUGAGGUGAAAAUAUCUUGCCAAGUAGAAGCUGUCCCUUCUGAGGAGUUAACAUUUAGUUGGUUUAAAAAUGGUCGCCCACUAAGAAGUUCUGAGCGGAUGGUUAUUACACAGACUGACCCGGAUGUAUCCCCCGGAACAACAAACUUGGAUAUCAUUGAUUUAAAAUUCACAGACUUUGGAACUUACACAUGCGUGGCCUCUCUGAAGGGAGGAGGAAUAUCUGAUAUCAGUAUUGACGUUAAUAUUUCCAGCAGUACAGUUCCACCCAAUCUGACUGUUCCACAGGAAAAAUCACCUUUGGUCACCAGAGAAGGAGACACAAUAGAACUUCAGUGUCAAGUAACUGGGAAACCUAAACCCAUCAUCCUUUGGUCUAGAGCUGAUAAAGAAGUUGCAAUGCCUGAUGGGACAAUGCAAAUGGAGAGUUACGAUGGGACACUGAGGAUUGUGAAUGUGUCAAGAGAAAUGUCAGGCAUGUACCGGUGUCAAACCAGCCAAUACAAUGGAUUCAAUGUGAAGCCAAGAGAAGCUUUGGUCCAGCUCAUUGUGCAAUAUCCCCCAGCUGUGGAACCAGCAUUCUUGGAAAUUCGUCAAGGACAGGACAGAAGUGUGACCAUGAGCUGCAGGGUCUUGAGAGCUUAUCCAAUACGAGUGUUGACCUAUGAGUGGCGUCUGGGCAAUAAAUUAUUACGGACCGGUCAGUUUGACUCUCAGGAGUAUACAGAGUAUCCAGUAAAAAGUCUUUCCAAUGAAAACUACGGAGUUUAUAACUGCAGCAUCAUAAACGAAGCUGGAGCAGGGAGAUGCAGCUUUCUCGUUACAGGAAAGGCUUAUGCCCCAGAGUUCUACUAUGACACCUACAACCCUGUGUGGCAGAACAGACACCGAGUGUAUUCCUAUAGUCUUCAGUGGACACAGAUGAAUCCUGACGCAGUGGACCGGAUUGUUGCAUACCGGUUGGGUAUUCGGCAGGCUGGACAACAACGUUGGUGGGAACAGGAGAUUAAAAUAAAUGGGAAUAUUCAAAAGGGAGAACUAAUUACAUAUAACCUGACUGAACUAAUUAAACCAGAGGCCUAUGAAGUCCGACUAACUCCUCUUACUAAAUUUGGUGAAGGAGAUUCAACAAUUCGUGUAAUCAAAUAUACUGCACCUGUAAAUCCUCAUUUGAGAGAAUUUCACUGUGGAUUUGAAGAUGGUAACAUUUGUUUGUUCACUCAAGAUGACACUGAUAAUUUUGACUGGACAAAACAAAGUACUGCGACAAGAAAUACAAAAUACACUCCUAACACGGGGCCUAAUGCGGAUCGCAGUGGUUCCAAAGAAGGUUUUUAUAUGUACAUUGAAACAUCUAGACCCAGACUAGAAGGUGAAAAGGCUCGACUUCUCAGUCCUGUAUUCAGCAUAGCUCCAAAAAAUCCCUAUGGACCAACAAACACUGCAUAUUGUUUCAGUUUCUUCUACCACAUGUACGGGCAACAUAUAGGUGUCUUAAAUGUAUAUCUACGUUUGAAAGGGCAGACAACAAUAGAGAAUCCUCUGUGGUCUUCAAGUGGGAAUAAAGGACAACGAUGGAAUGAGGCUCAUGUUAAUAUAUAUCCAAUUACUUCAUUUCAGCUAAUUUUUGAAGGCAUUCGAGGUCCUGGGAUAGAAGGUGACAUCGCCAUUGAUGAUGUGUCAAUAGCUGAAGGAGAAUGUGCAAAACAAGACCUAACAACUAAGAAUUCCGUGGAUGGUGCUGUUGGGAUCUUAGUUCAUUUAUGGCUUUUUCCAGUCAUCAUCCUCAUCUCUAUCCUAAGUCCUCGAAGGUGACCUUAUCCUGGCAGAGGCUAUUCAUAAUUCACCAGGCACCGGCAUGAAGAAAGAGUCUUUGUAAAUGGACACAGAAAAAAAAAAACAAACUACCAAAGAUUCCUCCACUGACUACUGACUCAAAAAUUAAAUAAUAAAAACAACAUUUUUUAAGCACUGGGGAUAAAAAGAUAUCAUGGAAAUAUAACUUAUUCCAAACUACAUAUAGAAGAUAAUCUUGGCCUGGGUACGGAAGAGACCUUCAGGUGCUUUUGUGGCUAAAAUGAUUUCAGCUUCAUCUGGUUGAACUCUGGAAAAAGAAAAGAAAGAAAAUGAAGAAAAAAAGAGCUAUAGAAAUCCUCGUCAAAGCACAAAGUCAUGGCUGGUUUUGUUUCAAAUGAAUAGUUUGCUUGUUACCAUGGAAACCUAAUGGCCUGCCAACAAAAACCUCACUGUAAACAGGGACAGUAAACCUGGGCUUACAUAUUACACAGGCUUAUCGGAGUUUGCUUGCGGCCACUUGAACACCCAAACUACGUCAUCUGUUCCUAUGAAGAAACCAAACCACCAUCUUUUAUAAAUUGCCAUGGAAACCAAGUGCCUUCAAUGAAACAAGCCUGAAUAAUUUUCAACUCAGAAGCUUGCACUGCUAACAAUGGCUUGUGUAAAACUAUUUUCUAAACAGAAGACACAGCCUACAUG